This 85-nucleotide transfer RNA is filed under the name Pseudomonas syringae pv. actinidiae ICMP 19100. RNAcentral describes it as "tRNA-Val". The stretch from base 4 to 77 matches the Rfam family "tRNA". Rfam says of the family: Transfer RNA (tRNA) molecules are approximately 80 nucleotides in length. Their secondary structure includes four short double-helical elements and three loops (D, anti-codon, and T loops). Lineage: Bacteria; Pseudomonadati; Pseudomonadota; Gammaproteobacteria; Pseudomonadales; Pseudomonadaceae. The record is from RNAcentral.
GAAGGGUGAUUAGCUCAGCUGGGAGAGCAGCUGCCUUACAAGCAGCGGGUCGGAGUCGCGGGUUCGAGUCCCGUCCGCUGCGCCA